RNAcentral lists this ribosomal RNA (527 nucleotides) under uncultured bacterium. RNAcentral's name for it is "bacterial SSU rRNA". It matches the Rfam family "Bacterial small subunit ribosomal RNA", at positions 984 to 1509 of the family's 1533-position model. The record is from RNAcentral.
ACAUCCAGAGAAUUUAGCAGAGAUGCUUUAGUGCCUUCGGGAACUCUGAGACAGGUGCUGCAUGGCUGUCGUCAGCUCGUGUUGUGAAAUGUUGGGUUAAGUCCCGCAACGAGCGCAACCCUUAUCCUUUGUUGCCAGCACGUAAUGGUGGGAACGUCAAAGGAGACUGCCGGUGAUAAACCGGAGGAAGGUGGGGAUGACGUCAAGUCAUCAUGGCCCUUACGAGUAGGGCUACACACGUGCUACAAUGGCGCAUACAAAGAGAAGCGACCUCGCGAGAGCAAGCGGACCUCAUAAAGUGCGUCGUAGUCCGGAUUGGAGUCUGCAACUCGACUCCAUGAAGUCGGAAUCGCUAGUAAUCGUAAAUCAGAAUGUUACGGUGAAUACGUUCCCGGGCCUUGUACACACCGCCCGUCACACCAUGGGAGUGGGUUGCAAAAGAAGUAGAUAGCUUAACCUUCGGGAGGGCGUUUACCACUUUGUGAUUCAUGACUGGGGUGAAGUCGUAACAAGGUAAGCGUAGUGCU